Molecule: long non-coding RNA, 366 nt
Filed under: Carica papaya (papaya)
Lineage: Eukaryota; Viridiplantae; Streptophyta; Magnoliopsida; Brassicales; Caricaceae
Description: long non-coding RNA (CPAP_LNC007738)
Source: RNAcentral
UCAGCUCUCUCACAAAAACUUUAUGCCUUCUCGCUCAGCUUUCUCGUUUGCUUCUGUAAAUUUGUUUUUUACUUCUAUGCAAUAUUACUUUGUUGCUUCUCUACUUCGAUUCUCAAAGUCUAGAUCUACUUUCUCUUCAAAUUUGACUUUGUUCUACACUUGAAGCUUGCUAUCUUCUCCACGAAUUCUGUUAUCUUCUCCAAACUUUCUCUCUCUAGCUCCCGUCUCUCUCUCUCCCUUUAUAGAUCUAAUAUUUCCUCUCAAUCUAUCUUUUUUCUUCUUCCUCAUAUCUCUCUUUUGUAGGUAGCAGGAGGUAGGGCUCUCUUGCGCAUGCCUCAUCCCUUUCCUUCCCAGCCUCCUCUUUCC